Molecule: transfer RNA, 74 nt
Filed under: candidate division WWE3 bacterium RIFOXYD1_FULL_43_17
Lineage: Bacteria; candidate division WWE3
Description: tRNA-Cys
Rfam family: tRNA
About the family: Transfer RNA (tRNA) molecules are approximately 80 nucleotides in length. Their secondary structure includes four short double-helical elements and three loops (D, anti-codon, and T loops).
Source: RNAcentral
GGCCUGGUAGCCAAGCGGCAAGGCAAGGGUCUGCAAAACCCUCAUCGCGGGUUCGAUUCCCGCCCAGGCCUCCA